This 297-nucleotide ribosomal RNA is filed under the name uncultured bacterium. Its description in RNAcentral is "partial 16S ribosomal RNA". It matches the Rfam family "Bacterial small subunit ribosomal RNA", at positions 488 to 776 of the family's 1533-position model. The record is from RNAcentral.
AUGCGCCUUGCCAGCCCGCUCAGGUGUGCCAGCCGCCGCGGUAAUACGGAGGGUGCAAGCGUUAAUCGGAAUUACUGGGCGUAAAGCGCACGCAGGCGGUUUGUUAAGUCAGAUGUGAAAUCCCCGGGCUCAACCUGGGAACUGCAUCUGAUACUGGCAAGCUUGAGUCUCGUAGAGGGGGGUAGAAUUCCAGGUGUAGCGGUGAAAUGCGUAGAGAUCUGGAGGAAUACCGGUGGCGAAGGCGGCCCCUGGACGAAGACUGACCGCUCAGGUGCGAAAGCGUGGGUAGCGAACGGG